Molecule: ribosomal RNA, 450 nt
Filed under: uncultured bacterium
Lineage: Bacteria
Description: partial 16S ribosomal RNA
Rfam family: Bacterial small subunit ribosomal RNA
Source: RNAcentral
GUGGGGAAUUUUGGACAAUGGGCGAAAGCCUGAUCCAGCCAUGCCGCGUGCAGGAUGAAGGCCUUCGGGUUGUAAACUGCUUUUGUACGGAACGAAAAGACUCCUUCUAAUAAAGGGGGUCCAUGACGGUACCGUAAGAAUAAGCACCGGCUAACUACGUGCCAGCAGCCGCGGUAAUACGUAGGGUGCAAGCGUUAAUCGGAAUUACUGGGCGUAAAGCGUGCGCAGGCGGUUAUAUAAGACAGAUGUGAAAUCCCCGGGCUCAACCUGGGAACUGCAUUUGUGGCUGUAUAGCUAGAGUACGGUAGAGGGGGAUGGAAUUCCGCGUGUAGCAGUGAAAUGCGUAGAUAUGCGGAGGAACACCGAUGGCGAAGGCAAUCCCCUGGACCUGUACUGACGCUCAUGCACGAAAGCGUGGGGAGCAAACAGGAUUAGAAACCCCGGUAGUCC